UACGUAGGGUGCAAGCGUUAAUCGGAAUUACUGGGCGUAAAGUGUGCGCAGGCGGUUAUGCAAGACAGAUGUGAAAUCCCCGGGCUUAACCUGGGAACUGCAUUUGUGACUGCAUAGCUGGAGUGCGGCAGAGGGGGAUGGAAUUCCGCGUGUAGCAGUGAAAUGCGUAGAUAUGCGGAGGAACACCGAUGGCGAAGGCAAUCCCCUGGGCCUGCACUGACGCUCAUGCACGAAAGCGUGGGGAGCAAACAGG
This 253-nucleotide ribosomal RNA is filed under the name uncultured bacterium. Its description in RNAcentral is "partial 16S ribosomal RNA". It matches the Rfam family "Bacterial small subunit ribosomal RNA", at positions 524 to 776 of the family's 1533-position model. The record is from RNAcentral.